GUGGGGAAUCUUCCGCAAUGGACGAAAGUCUGACGGAGCAACGCCGCGUGAGUGAAGAAGGUUUUCGGAUCGUAAAGCUCUUUCGUUAGGGACGAACGUGCUCUUUGUGAAUAAUGAGGAGUAAUGACGGUACCUAAAUAAGAAGCCACGGCUAACUACGUGCCAGCAGCCGCGGUAAUACGUAGGUGGCAAGCGUUGUCCGGAAUUAUUGGGCGUAAAGCGCGCGCAGGCGGGAUAUCAAGUCUGUCUUAAAAGUGCGAGGCUCAACCUCGUGAGGGGACAGAAACUGGUAUUCUUGAGUGUCGGAGAGGAAAGUGGAAUUCCAAGUGUAGCGGUGAAAUGCGUAGAGAUUUGGAAGAACACCAGUGGCGAAGGCGACUUUCUGGACGAUGUCUGACGCUGAGGCGCGAAAGCUAGGGGAGCGAACGGGAUUAGAUACCCCAGUAUCC
Molecule: ribosomal RNA, 449 nt
Filed under: uncultured bacterium
Lineage: Bacteria
Description: partial 16S ribosomal RNA
Rfam family: Bacterial small subunit ribosomal RNA
Source: RNAcentral